AACUGAAAUUAUAGUUUUGACUCUAAAGAUAAGUUUAAAAGAAGUUUCUCCAAUUGAAAUUUGAUAUAUAAUUCUGUAGAUCCAUAGAACACUGUAAAGUUCUUCAGCCCAUAACCCCUUUAUUUCUGUAAGCCUUGUCUUUAAUCCUUGAAGAAUAAUCAUGUUCGUAACCUCAGCUUCACCAUUCGACUAUGGAUACCCGACAGAAGUAAGCCGAUG
RNAcentral lists this long non-coding RNA (219 nucleotides) under Elaeis guineensis (African oil palm). RNAcentral describes it as "long non-coding RNA (EGUI_LNC007542)". Lineage: Eukaryota; Viridiplantae; Streptophyta; Magnoliopsida; Arecales; Arecaceae. The record is from RNAcentral.